AGUUUUGAGUGAAAGAAAGCCGAACGGAAGGACAGAACUGGGUCGACAUUGGCGAAAGAUCUUUGCUGGGAGAAACUCGAUAAAUUGAUAAUUUAUGCCCACGCAUCUCUAUAGGAUUUUUGCCUCUACAUAUUUUCGGACGGGAAGGACGCCGUUUUUAUCUCUCCUCGUAUUUACUCCUCAUCACUCGCAUCGGCCAACUGGACACAUUUUCUGGAUUUUUACUUGUUGCAUCUCUCAAAGUAUAAAAAUAUAUACUUUCGAAAAUUCCAUUUUUUUAAGAGUGACAUAAUUGGUAGGAUGAAGCUCAGAAAGUUUAUCCAGUUUGACACGAACCACCACUACCCGAGCACAUUCGCAGUGCUAUUUCUCAUCAAUAUGUUCAACCAAAAUCAUAUUCGUCAACCGACUUGGAAAUACCAAACACUCUGGAUGACAUACACCAACAAGUGUCACCAGAUUUGAAAAUGGGGUACUUCAUCAUGACCAAAAAGUUUUUUAUUUUGGAAGACGGGUGAAAGUCGGGCAAAAUCCGGGAAGUUAUUUCCGCAA
This is a long non-coding RNA of Folsomia candida, 552 nucleotides long. RefSeq lists it as uncharacterized. The record is from RefSeq and is a predicted model, not a curated record. The transcript is spliced from 4 exons. Lineage: Eukaryota; Metazoa; Arthropoda; Collembola; Entomobryomorpha; Isotomidae.